RNAcentral lists this long non-coding RNA (247 nucleotides) under Gossypium barbadense (sea-island cotton). RNAcentral describes it as "long non-coding RNA (GBAR_LNC011798)". The record is from RNAcentral. Lineage: Eukaryota; Viridiplantae; Streptophyta; Magnoliopsida; Malvales; Malvaceae.
GUAGAGUUAGGGUGUACGAAUAGGUCGGGUUGAGUAGCAGGGGAAUCAACAAGGCCAAGAGUAGAUUGAAUUUGAAGAGAUGAUUUGUAAAUAAUUUCAUAAUGAUUUAAUGAUAAAUUUGGUCAUUAAUAUUUGUAUGUUUUUUAAAAUAAUUUUAAUUGUAUUUUUGAAUUUUUUACCAUCAAUUUUUAUUUUUAAUUUACUUUUUUAAGAGAUUUCGUUAAUAAAUUCAAUAUUUCAAAUUUUC